Tigriopus californicus is the source of this 1232-nucleotide long non-coding RNA. RefSeq lists it as uncharacterized. Lineage: Eukaryota; Metazoa; Arthropoda; Copepoda; Harpacticoida; Harpacticidae. The transcript has 3 exons. The record is from RefSeq and is a predicted model, not a curated record.
UAUAAUAAUGCGGGAAAAACCCCGUUUUCCGGACCGUAACUAGUAGUGAUGUCAUUCAAAAUCAGCCCGACUUUGAAUGAACACAAUACAUUUCGGCCCUAUGCCAUGUCCUGAAUGCAUGGUACACAAACAUGGUGUUUUAAAAGAGAUGUCGGUUUACAGAUUGUGACAAAAACUUGGAUUGCGGUUGGAGUUCAACAAUGUACGUUUUUUGGUCAGCUUUACCUUGAUGCUGAUGCAAAUUAUCCGUUCUUGUAUCCUCCCAAGUUAAUUUGUCCGGUUCAGGAUUGUUAUGCGGAAGUCAUUCAAGACCAUUCAUUUUCUCUCAACAACACACCAAGCCAUCCAAAUAGCAAUUGCGUCCUCCAGAUGAUUCUUUGGACGUUUAAAUACAUAAUUAAGUUUGUGAAUGGAGUUGAUGGAUUUUCCCACUGCUUGGUGGAUCUGCGCCUUCUCCGGACCUUUGAAGCAUGUCUCGGUAAAGUUCGUCACGCACGAGACGAACUCUGACCACAUUUUUGGAAACGUCUCGCUGAAACGAGGAGAUCGGAAUGAUUUGAUACUCUUCACUUCCGUAUAUCCGGAUCCCCCAAUCGAGAUUUUAUGGACAGGGACGGAUCAAAUUGUGGAAUUUGCUUUCCAGCUUUGAAUGUUUAAACGUUUUCUGUGCUAUCUUUGCGCAUUUUGGUAGUAUGAACUUGGACUUAUUUUCGAAAUCUCGCCCUUUUUAGCUUAAAGUUUGAAGUAUUUCAUCUUAAUUUUCUCAUAAAAAAAGAUGAGCGGUGUUGCUCUUGGUUUCCUCAUACUCAACGUUCAUUUUGAUAGCAAUAACUACUCGCUUUUCUUGACAUUUUUCCUUUCUUGUUAAUCAUUUAAGUGGCACAUUGGUCUUUUUAAACGAAAUAUUUGAAUAUACAUUUUUACUGGGUUUAUUCAUAACAUUAUCAAAAUUUCAGCCCUUGCUUUCAAAUGAUUUUGUCCCUAAAAAUGACGACAGAUUAAUGUUUGUUGAUCUUCAGACGUUUAUACAAAAUUUUCUUUUUCCGAUUCUUUUCCCUUCUUGAGAGAUGCAUUUCAUUUAUGCUUUCGUAAAACCGUGUCAGUGCUUGUUUAAAAGAUAUGUUGUCAUUAUCAGUCUCAACGUAAAAUAUUUAAUAGAACCAAGUCAAAGCUGAAUUAAUUUGACAAAAAUAUUAAAACGCAAUAUGGUACUGUAAAAAAAAAAGAAACGA